Xiphophorus hellerii (green swordtail) is the source of this 367-nucleotide long non-coding RNA. RefSeq lists it as uncharacterized. Lineage: Eukaryota; Metazoa; Chordata; Actinopteri; Cyprinodontiformes; Poeciliidae. The record is from RefSeq and is a predicted model, not a curated record. The transcript is spliced from 5 exons.
GACUCUGAGCGGAGCUAACGAUGCUAACGAUGCUAACAGGCUCCAGCAGCUGCUGUGGCUCCUAAACUGGAGCUUCAGCUCCAACAGAGCUGAAUCAAAGCUCUACAACUCUGGUUUAGACGAUAAGAUGCUGAGCUUCCGGUCUGAAGAUCAGCCUCCAUUUUGAGCUGCAGGAUGGAAAUAACUUGCUGACUUGUUACUAGAGGCCAGAAGAUGGAAGAUCAGGACAGAGCAGAACCUCCAGGACCCAUCAGUCCAUCUAUGAAGAGUGACCUGUCCAAAACGUUUCCUCCAGACUUCAGUAAUGAACCUGGACCAUCAGACAGAAAGAGCUGUGAGUGUGAAGAAAGACCCAGAACAGGAGCUG